RNAcentral lists this unclassified non-coding RNA (473 nucleotides) under Hevea brasiliensis (rubber tree). Lineage: Eukaryota; Viridiplantae; Streptophyta; Magnoliopsida; Malpighiales; Euphorbiaceae. The record is from RNAcentral.
CAAGACCCAAACAAAUCCCUUCGAGAUCCGGUCUAUUAUCGUUGCAAUCCUGUCCCUCACCAUCGAAUUGGGUCCAAGUACAAUAUAUAUCCAACAUAUGACUUUGCCUGUCCCUAUGUUGAUGCCAUAGAAGGUAUAUCUCAUGCUCUUCGAUCAAGUGAGUACCAUGAUCGAAAUGCUCAAUAUCACAGGAUUCAGGAAGAUUUGGGAGUUAGAAAGGUUCAUAUUUAUGAAUUUAGCAGGUUGAACAUGGUCUAUACACUUCUUAGUAAGCGUAACCUUCGCUGGUUUGUUGAAAAUGGAAAGGUUGAUGGAUGGGAUGAUCCUCGGUUUCCAACUGUCCAAGGAAUUGUACGUAGAGGUUUGAAAGUUGAGGCAUUAGUGCAAUUUAUUCUUGAACAGGGGGCAUCGAAAAAUCUCAACCUCAUGGAAUGGGACAAACUUUGGACAAUUAAUAAGAAAAUCAUAGAUCC